RNAcentral lists this ribosomal RNA (641 nucleotides) under uncultured Propionibacterium sp. RNAcentral's name for it is "bacterial SSU rRNA". It matches the Rfam family "Bacterial small subunit ribosomal RNA", at positions 235 to 885 of the family's 1533-position model. The record is from RNAcentral. Lineage: Bacteria; Bacillati; Actinomycetota; Actinomycetes; Propionibacteriales; Propionibacteriaceae.
GGCCUAUCAGCUUGUUGGUGGGGUAGUGGCCUACCAAGGCGGCGACGGGUAGCCGGCCUGAGAGGGUGACCGGCCACAUUGGGACUGAGAUACGGCCCAGACUCCUACGGGAGGCAGCAGUGGGGAAUAUUGCACAAUGGGCGCAAGCCUGAUGCAGCAGCGCCGCGUGCGGGAUGACGGCCUUCGGGUUGUAAACCGCUUUCAGCAGGGACGAGGCUUUUUGUGACGGUACCUGCAGAAGAAGCACCGGCUAACUACGUGCCAGCAGCCGCGGUGAUACGUAGGGUGCGAGCGUUGUCCGGAUUUAUUGGGCGUAAAGGGCUCGUAGGCGGUUGAUCGCGUCGGAAGUGGAAACUUGAUGCUUAACGUUGAGCGUGCUUUCGAUACGGGUUGACCUGAGGAAGGUAGGGGAGAAUGGAAUUCCUGGUGGAGCGGUGGGAUGCGCAGAUAUCAGGAGGAACACCAGUGGCGAAGGCGGUUCUCUGGACCUUUCCUGACGCUGAGGAGCGAAAGCGUGGGGAGCGAACAGGCUUAGAUACCCUGGUAGUCCACGCUGUAAACGGUGGGUACUAGGUGUGGGGUCCAUUCCACGGAUUCUGUGCCGUAGCUAACGCAUUAAGUACCCCGCCUGGGGAGUACGG